Molecule: ribosomal RNA, 427 nt
Filed under: uncultured bacterium
Lineage: Bacteria
Description: bacterial SSU rRNA
Rfam family: Bacterial small subunit ribosomal RNA
Source: RNAcentral
UGGGGAAUAUUGGACAAUGGGCGAAAGCCUGAUCCAGCAAUACCGCGUGUGUGAUGAAGGCCUGCGGGUUGUAAAACACUUUCGUUGGGGAAGAAAUGCUCAAAGUUAAUACCUUUGAGAGUUGACGUUACCCAAAGAAGAAGCACCGGCUAACUCUGUGCCAGCAGCCGCGGUAAUACAGAGGGUGCAAGCGUUAAUCGGAGUUACUGGGCGUAAAGGGCGCGUAGGUGGAUAUUUAAGUCGGAUGUGAAAUCCCCGGGCUUAACCUGGGAAUUGCAUUCGAUACUGGAUAUCUCGAGUAUGGUAGAGGAAAGCGGAAUUCCCGGUGUAGCGGUGAAAUGCGUAGAUAUCGGGAAGAACAUCAGGGCGAAGGCGGCUUUCUGGACCAAUGCUGACACUGAGGCGCGAAAGCGUGGGGAGCAAACAG